Molecule: non-coding RNA, 551 nt
Organism: Theobroma cacao (cacao)
Lineage: Eukaryota; Viridiplantae; Streptophyta; Magnoliopsida; Malvales; Malvaceae
Source: RefSeq, a predicted model, not a curated record
GAAAAAGUAUGGGAUUUCAAGGAAUCAAGCAAUCAAAGGUGGUGAGCCCUCUAACAAGGGUAAAGAGAUUGUGUCUGAAAAUUGGGAAUAGAAGUAUAUUGAACUCCUAGUACUGCUCAGACUAGGCUGUAGAUAGCUGGCUCCAUCGGGGAUUUCCAUUGGAUUGCGUCUUCUUAACUGUUCCAACGAGGCCUCACAUGUCCGUUCGAAGCAACAAUCGAAGUUAAAAUCGAUUAAAGAAUCAACAAGACCAAUUUGGAAGCAGUUGGGGCAUAGAUUGAGUCGAACACAUAUGCUCGCCUUCUUGGUAGGUACUAUGGUAUCUCAGUAGCUGUACCUUCACCCACAGUCACUCCCCUGAUGGUUAAAAGUCUUAUAUUUGUAUAUACACAUAAGUAAUGUAGACCACUAAGAUUCAUGUAUAUUAAAAAUCAAAUAUUUAUAUUUGAUUACUAAUGCCAUUAUGGGCUGGCAAACGAGUAUCAUUAUUUUAACAUAAUACGAAUGUGAAUAUUGAGUUGCUAUAAAAUGUUACCAAAAUGAUUAUAGUA